GGCAACGGCGGUCGGGCAGCGGCGGUAACGCGGGGGGGGGAAGGGGUGUUGGGAAUGACUGGGCGGAAAGGGCGUGCAGUCGGGCAGGUAAGUGAGUGGCGAAAUGCCCCGGCUCACCCGGGGACCGGCAUCUCAUACUGCUUGGAUGGAGUACGGGAGAGGAUGUGGGAAUUCCUGGUGUAGCGGUGAAAUGCGUAGAUAUCAGGAGGAACACCGGUGGCGAAGGCGCACAUCUGGCCCGAUACUGACGCUGAGGCGCGAAAGCUAGGGGAGCAAACGGGAUUAGAUACCCCAGUAGUC
This 300-nucleotide ribosomal RNA is filed under the name uncultured Pyrobaculum sp. RNAcentral's name for it is "bacterial SSU rRNA". It matches the Rfam family "Bacterial small subunit ribosomal RNA", at positions 496 to 795 of the family's 1533-position model. Lineage: Archaea; Thermoproteati; Thermoproteota; Thermoprotei; Thermoproteales; Thermoproteaceae. The record is from RNAcentral.